GGGGUGACUGCGGCUUUUCAGACGGGACUUAAACUGAAUUCAGAGUGAAUAUACUAUUACGGUAAUGGAUAUACCGUUAUAUGUGUGACAGAUGCAAUACGUAGUCUGAAAGCACAUCGGAUGUGAAGUAUCUGCUACAGCUGGUCUUUGAGAACAGGCUCACCCCCCCCCCCAAGAGAGAAUGGACAUUAGGCAGACUGUCUGAGAGCCACCAGGUCAUGGGGAGCAGAGGCUCCAGAUUCAAAUUCAGAGAAUCAGGAGUUGCACAAAAGAUCAACAAAAUAUGUGCUUACAACACAAUCACUUUGGAAUCGCUAUUA
Long non-coding RNA from Brienomyrus brachyistius, 320 nucleotides. RefSeq lists it as uncharacterized. The transcript is spliced from 3 exons. The record is from RefSeq and is a predicted model, not a curated record. NCBI's taxonomy places the organism in Eukaryota, Metazoa, Chordata, Actinopteri, Osteoglossiformes, Mormyridae.